This 492-nucleotide ribosomal RNA is filed under the name uncultured bacterium. RNAcentral's name for it is "partial 16S ribosomal RNA". It matches the Rfam family "Bacterial small subunit ribosomal RNA", at positions 29 to 507 of the family's 1533-position model. The record is from RNAcentral.
AUUGAACGCUGGCGGCAUGCUUUACACAUGCAAGUCGAACGGUAACAGGCCUUCGGGUGCUGACGAGUGGCGAACGGGUGCGUAAUGCAUCGGAACGUACCCAGAGGUGGGGGAUAACGCAGCGAAAGCUGUGCUAAUACCGCAUGUGAUCUGAGGAUGAAAGCGGGGGACCGAGCAGCAAUGUUUGGCCUCGCGCCUUUGGAGCGGCCGAUGUCGGAUUAGCUAGUUGGUGGGGUAAAGGCCUACCAAGGCGACGAUCCGUAGCUGGUCUGAGAGGACGACCAGCCACACUGGAACUGAGACACGGCCCAGACUCCUACGGGAGGCAGCAGUGGGGAAUUUUGGACAAUGGGCGCGAGCCUGAUCCAGCAAUGCCGCGUGCGGGAAGAAGGCCUUCGGGUUGUAAACCGCUUUUGGCAGGAACGAAACGGUGUCCGCUAAUACCGGGCGCUAAUGACGGUACCUGCAGAAUAAGCACCGGCUAACUACGUG